CGCAUAUCCUUCGCGUCAGGUGCCCGCUCCGGCGGGAGAAUCGGGAAUCCGGUGCGGGCGGAAAGCCUAGGUCCGGAACGUGCCCAACGCUGUGACGGGGAUGGUCUGCGCCAUGAAAGCUUGAAUCGAUUCAAGCUUUUGCCACUGGUUGUUCAACCGGGAAGGCAGGCGUCGGCCGCGUGACCCGAAGUCAGAAGACCGGCCUGGCACGAUAGACCGAAC
Molecule: non-coding RNA, 222 nt
Filed under: Shinella sp. WSC3-e
Lineage: Bacteria; Pseudomonadati; Pseudomonadota; Alphaproteobacteria; Hyphomicrobiales; Rhizobiaceae
Source: RNAcentral